Molecule: ribosomal RNA, 274 nt
Filed under: uncultured bacterium
Lineage: Bacteria
Description: partial 16S ribosomal RNA
Rfam family: Bacterial small subunit ribosomal RNA
Source: RNAcentral
AUACGGAGGGGGUUAGCGUUGUUCGGAAUUACUGGGCAUAAAGCGCACGUAGGCGGACUGGAAAGUUGGGGGUGAAAUCCCGGGGCUCAACCCCGGAACUGCCUCCAAAACUUCCAAUCUAGAGAUCGAGAGAGGUGAGUGGAAUUCCAAGUGUAGAGGUGAAAUUCGUAGAUAUUUGGAGGAACACCAGUGGCGAAGGCGGCUCACUGGCUCGAUACUGACGCUGAGGUGCGAAAGCGUGGGGAGCAAACAGGAUUAGAAACCCCAGUAGUCC